CCCACUGUGCACGGCUGCUUACCUACAGAGCUGGGAAUCCCCACGCCGCUCACCGCCGCACACACAUUCACCUUCAGGCUGGAAGAGAAGAAUAUCAAGGAGAGAGAAAAGACUGUGAUAACCGAAUGGAUGCGGCAGCCGUUCGUGGCACACAUCCCCAUACCCCCAUCUGAUGACUUUAGCAGAGCAGAGGAGGAAACCAACGCAGGAGAACAUGGGGAUGGUAGUGGAGGAGUGCAUGGGGGAACGAUGAAAUGUGGAGGUCAACAACGAAGAGGAGGGAGGCUAUAAUGAAAGGAGCUGGAAGCAAACCCGAGAAGUGAAAGAAUGCAAGAAUUUUGAUUAUAACAUGGGGAGCUGAGUGGAAAGGAGAGAGGGUGGACUUUGCUGAGUAAUUACCAGGAUACUGAUUGUUGUCCACGUCUUGGCCUCCUCUCAGAGUGAAUCCGAAUCCAGGCAAACUGCUCCCGGGGCUCGAGGCCGCUCGCAGCUCUUGGCUCAGCAUCAGGCCUUGUGCUGAUACAUCUCUGUUACCGUUGAAGAUCAAUACUCUGCCUCCACGGUCGUCGCCUCCGAACGGACAGCCCACUGCCACGUCUAAAAGAUGACACACACAUGUAUGGUUUAGACAUCAGCAGGGUUAAGGGCCCUACGAGACAGAAGCAAAGGAAAACAUACAGGUAGAAAGGAAAGGAAAGGGAGGGGAAGGGAAAGAACUUGACCUUCUUGCAUAUGUUUGUAUGACCAUUUACUUUCUUUAAGUUUGUUAGACUUAUUCUUUAAUCUUAUUCCAGCUCUUUCUUAUGUCAUUUGUCUGGGCAUUCUUGAAGUCAUUGCUCUUACUCUAACCCAAAUUGGUACAUGGUAGCCACUAACAAGCACAGGAAAUGAAAUAAAAAGAAAACAAGUCAAAGUUUGUCCAAAGGUAACAAAAUCUGCAGACCAGCACUUCUGAAAUCCGAAUUCUGAACCCCAAAACCCACCAACAGCAUUUUAAGGACAUGUUUUCUUUAGAAGAUGGCCAAAUUUACAACAUUUAUCAGAGCCACAUACUGUAAAAACAGACAGAAUUCUCUGAUUUUCUACUUUCAUGCACCAUCACUAAAGAUGUGUAACACCAGGAAAAUGACCAAGUUUACUUUAUUCUACAUAUUACUUCAAAAAAAUUGGUAAAACGAUGUCUGCUCUAACCAAGAAACUAAACAUUCUAGACUCCCUAGCACAUCCAUGAAGCCAUAGCUGACUCGACAGCAAUCAACAGUCAUAUGACAAAAGUUCAAGGCUGAACUGCAGUUUGUGUCUACACAGAGCAGAUAUAUGUGUAAGGAAACAAAUGCAGAAGUGCCUUAAACUUGCAUUCUUUUGAGCCUCCAGCAGGGGGCGACUUCCUUGGUGGCAGAAAGAUCUGAUACUACAGAAAUCUAAUAGAAAAUGAGCUUACUUCCUUUUUGAUCUGUUACUUCAGUGAACAUUUUAUUAAUGAGUUUAUGGUAUCAAUUGCUAGAUUAAACACUCUUUGAAUGCAGCAUGACAUUCAUUUUUGUAAAUUAUGGUUACAUUUAGAGGAAAAUAGACAAUAAAGCAGGGUAUGUUUUAGUCAGUAAGCGUAGUGUCAUUCAGCUCUCAGUCAGAUCCACCUCUUGCUGGGGGUCAAAUUCUAAAUUAGAGGCUUUGAAAUAGCAGCUUACAAACCACCGGGUGACGUCAUGGUCACUUUGUCCACCGUCUAUGUACAGUCUAUGGUAAUAGCCUAUUUAUACUAAAAGAAAAAUGUUUAAAAAAGCAUUUCUUUCAACUAAAGCUCUGUAAAACAUGAAUAAACAAAGGUGUUUUAACAGA
Molecule: long non-coding RNA, 1839 nt
Organism: Acanthochromis polyacanthus (spiny chromis)
Lineage: Eukaryota; Metazoa; Chordata; Actinopteri; Pomacentridae
Exons: 2
Source: RefSeq, a predicted model, not a curated record